Molecule: long non-coding RNA, 1254 nt
Filed under: Olea europaea subsp. europaea
Lineage: Eukaryota; Viridiplantae; Streptophyta; Magnoliopsida; Lamiales; Oleaceae
Source: RNAcentral
CGAGCAUGUUCGUCCUCGAGACACAAGGCCCGACCACAUCUCCAUCAUGCUUCGCAUAUUACAAACAUGUGUCCUCGGGCAUGGUCCUCGGGAAUGUGCUCCUCCUUACUGCUGACGAUUGUUCACCCUUUAGAAUUCCUACGCAAUCAGGAAUCUUAACUCCCACAAGAGUCCUAUCUCACGCAUAAUUCUGGAAUUCAACCAACUCCUUAACCAUUCAGGACUCCAACAGAUGAGGACAUCCAGCUAGUUGAGCCCAAUUAGGAGAAUGUCACUUACUACUAUAAAUACAGAACUUUGAACCAUUAUUCAGGUACGUUCUUCUCAUUGUUCUUCAGCAUAUAGCCUCACGCAUAUAUUUCCCUUUCUGACUUAAGCAUCGGAGGGGCGACGAGAACACACCUCGUUGCCUUUGUUUCAGGUAUCGGAAGAUCACGUUCGUGCUCAUCAUCAGUCAUCAAGCUCGAAAAAUCUACAGGUACGAUUUUUGGUAGCAUCAGUACCCAUGUCGCAUUUUCAACAGAUAUUCAUUAUCACAGUUGAAAGUAUAAGAAAAUAAACUCACUUUAGAUUCCUAGUUAUCAUCAAUAUCAUCUCUAUCACAUUUAUGCAUCAAGAGUUUCUGAGCACAAUUCCCCAGUUUGUUUCUGAAAGUAUAAGAAAAUAAAUAUGUUGGUUACUUCUGGAAUCUAGGCCAGGGUAGACUGAGUUUUCCAGUAAUCUUGCCAAGUUUCUCGCGCUGCAGCAUACCAUACAAAAUGUUCAAGUACCUUUAGGACAAUGUUAUGUAUCCCUUUUUUUAAACCCAACUUCAACUUCAUCUUCAUCUUGAUAAACGGCAGACUCGGUCUUGGCUCCUCCACUGUAGUGACGAUGAGAAAUCAAAACCUUGAGUCCUACCUAGACCAACGAGGCAACGACACUACUCUGCUAGUCUGCAACUUCUCCAAAAUUCCAACCAGCGACGGCAUCCUUCAGUCUAUUUUCGGAAUCGUUGAUGAGUCAUUUAUUUUAGCCAAAAUCCGACCGGCAAUGAGCCGACGGCAUGCUGCUUCUGUUAUUAAUUCAUUUUCUUGUUUUGGGUGAGAUUCAAAUUGUGCUCUUUGUCUAUUUGUUGCAAUAUCUUGAUUCUUGAAGACUUGAACUUUGAAGUGUAUCUAGCCUUCCAGUUUUUGGUGAAUGAAAUUAUGAAAUUCAUCAAUUAAUCCUGCCAUUUUUAAGUAAUUUAACAGCAAAUGAGCAACUGUAAUCUAG